CUCUUUUCAGUAGCUCUUGGCAGACCUACCUUCACAUUUUCUUGACUAAAAACAGUCAUUAAAAAAAGUCAGUCACAAACAGGUGAAUUUAAAUUAUCAUGGUUUACCUAUGCUUAACAAGCUUUAUCCUCAGAGGUAAGGAUAGGGUUACUUUCCUGAAUUUUAGAUAUGUGGAAAUAUUUGGAGUUAUGUCAAUAAAUGAAAAAGUGUGAUGGAUAUAGUGCUUGCCAUGGAAUAUACCAAAUACAGAUAUUCUGAAAACUUUAAGUUCAGUAAUAUGCCAGGGGUUCCCAAGACCACUUGAGACCUGGUAAUUUAUUGGAAGUCUCUAAGGGAAUCAGAAGCUGUAGUACUCAUUGUUACAGUAUAUUACAGUAAAAACAGUACAGAUAGAAGUCAGCUAAGAGAAAAGACAAAUGAAGUGAACUCCAGGAGAAACCAAGUCCAAGCUCUCAGGUGUCCCCUCCCAGAGCAGUUGCAUGGGGACAUGUUUAAUUAUCCCAGCAACAAUAUGUAAAGUACAAAGCAUUGCCAACCAGGAACACUCGCUGGAGUCUAGUUGUCGAAGGUGUUUACUGGGAUCAGUCACAUAGUCAUGUAAUGCCCAUAUGAUUGACCUCAGCUCCAUGACAUUUAAGCACAACUUUCUUCCUACACCCAGAGUAAAAACAGAUGUUCACAUAAGUCACGUUGAUAACAUAACCUUUUCUGGUCCAACUGGGAGAGUAUGGCCCAAGACUUUAGGAAAACAAGAACACUUUUAUCAAGCAAAAUACUCCAAGGGCUCAGAGAUGAACUCCUAGUCUAAGGUCUAGUCCUGCAGAGGGACCCCUCUUUGGAAUGUAUAGUAUUUGAGUAAUUCAGGCCAGUCAAGUUAAACCUUUUCACCCAUGCCUAAAUGCUAUUUAAUAAAUGUAAAUAACAACGAUGAGAUAGUUUAUUAAACAUUUUUAUUGAAAUACACAAAUAGUAUAUAGUUAAUUAAUUUUAACAAAGUGAUUGUACAUAUUUCACAAUAAAAUUCCCUUAAAUUACCAUCUGCUCUAUCUGCAAGUAAUUAUUAUUCUGAUUGCUAAUAACAUAGACUUUUUUUAACCUAUUUUUGAACUUUUAUAAUAGAAUUAAACAAUAUAUAUUCUUUUCUGGAUGGCUUCUGUUACUCAGAAAUAUAUUUAGGAGAGUCAUCAAAGCUCUCUUGGGUAUACCAUUUAUCCUUCUUGCUUGAUAAUGCUCCAUGUAUGUAUAUAUAUGCUAUGAUGUGUUUAUUUUACUCUUGAUGGAUAACUGCAAAACUUCCAAUUUAAGCUGUUGUGAAUAAUUCUUUAAUAAAAAAUUUUGUACAUUUGCUGAAUAUGUUUAUGUGUUCCUGUUGGAUGAUAGUAGCAGAAUUAUUGGUCACAGGGUAUGCAUAUACUUAAUUUUAACAGAUAAGGUCAAAUACUUUCCAAAUUCAUUUUAACAAUUACAGUCAACCUGCAUUGUUUUAGAGCCCCGAUUGCAGGGUCAUUUUGGAUUAGUUUGUCUUUCUCUUAUUGAUUUUAAUGGAUAGUGUUAGGCUGUAAAUAAAGUUAUUUAUGCAUAGUAAGAACUUUCUCAACAAAUUUUACUCAGACUUCUGCUCUACGCUAAGAACUAGCUCUGGAAAUUAAUUCACAGAAAGAACAUGGUUAGGGGCCAUCCUGAGGGAUUUACCUCACUAGGGAUAUAUAUUUACAUUUCAAGAGAAGAUGAGACCCAGUAGAUGCAUCCCAGAAGUUACAAAGCUGGAGACUCUAGUGUUAUCUUUCCCCUAGAGUGAUUUAUUUUUAUCCAAAUGGUUAGAGUAAGAACUCAGAUUUUUUUCCAUUUUGUGACUAUGGAGACGCACUCAGAAGGGGGUCAGAGCAACUGGGUCACUCUUCCACAAAAAUGCUCAGGUUCUUUUUUCCAGAGUUCUUUGCCUACAGCAGAUCCCCUUACAUGUAGGACAUCUGGUUCUCACCACAUCACCACCACGGUAAGAAUUAGUGGAAAGGAGAGCUAGGUUAAGGGCAGCUGUUUCUUUCCUUCUCUGCAGCCUCUGGUACCAAGUACUGCAUGACAUGUGUCUCACAACAUUCCUGCCUCUGCACCUCUGUGCUACGACACUGGAUGAAUCUAUGGAGUGAGCAAUAGAAAGUCUCUGAACUGCCAGAAACAAAUUCAUUUUACAUGGAAGUGGCUUUAAAUCAAGCACAUUAACCUCAAUGAACUGAAAUUAAAUAUGUCUCUCUUCAACUUCCCCUUAGCUGAAUACUAAAAGUGCUGUAGGCUGGACCCGCACUACCUGACAGGGAGAUAAAUGACUAAAGGCAAAUGGGAGUCAAAACAGGCCUGGAAGUGGAAAUACCGUGACAUAAAAUAGAGGCACAGCAAAUUAUUCAAGAUGUCGACAAACAGCAUUGUUUCCAAGUUUUUGUUCCCUUACAAUCCUUGCCAUUGGCCAAUCUCUCAAAAUCCCGUGUUGCUUAACAUUUAGUAGCUUAGUAAAUAUUUUAAAUCUCAGAGAUUUUACCUAACUGAUACCAGGGUUUUUAAAAUUUGUUUAUAUAGAUUAAGCGUCUUUGAAGAAAUAACAGUAUGCAAAAAAUAUGGUUGCUAUUCUUCAUGUUAAAACUAUCUUAAACUCUUUUCCAGAGGAAAAAAUAACAAAAUAGAAACCAAGGAAGGUCUUUUGCUUGGUGAUUACAUAUAUUGAUUACCUGUGUAAGUUAAACAGAUUGGGAAAAGGAAAUAUCCAAAAUUGUGCCUAGAGUAUAUCAUGACAUCAUGUAUAUAUGUAAAUAAGUUAAUUUUUGCAAUCGCAACAUAGAGAAAAAUGUUAUUUUAAAUGAAUAAAAAUAAAUAGAACAUAAAGUAAUAUUUCAGCAUAUUAAAUUUAGGAGUAAAAACCUUUGACAUCCCUGAAAAUCUUUGGUAAAAAGUCCAGAUUAUGAUAACUUGGCUUUAAUGAACUAGGAAAUAGAUGGAUAAUAGCACACACAUUUUUAGCAUUGUAGGGAUUAUUUUCACUGGUUGUAGGAUCAACACACUUGGUUUAAAUAAUGGUUCUGAGAAUUUAAUUAAUUAAUUAAUUUAAUUCAUUUUUGUUAGGAAAAUAAAUUCAUUUCUAGACACAGGAUAUUUUACAAUUGGAUCGUAUUUCAAAAAAGAAUCACUGUGUUUUUAAUGAACAAAUGUCACAUAAAGAAGUCUUUUCAAAAAGUGCUUCAAAAACUUAAAUUUGAAAUAUAUGCAACGGAUCCACAAGAGCCAUGCGCAUGAAUUGCAUUUGCGGGCUGGAUUACCAAGGGCUUCUCUGAAAUGGCAAAGAAAAUAAUGUUUGAU
This 3345-nucleotide long non-coding RNA is filed under the name Homo sapiens (human). RNAcentral describes it as "HSALNT0149035". The record is from RNAcentral. Lineage: Eukaryota; Metazoa; Chordata; Mammalia; Primates; Hominidae.